Molecule: long non-coding RNA, 561 nt
Filed under: Microcebus murinus (gray mouse lemur)
Lineage: Eukaryota; Metazoa; Chordata; Mammalia; Primates; Cheirogaleidae
Description: lncRNA (ENSMICG00000048281.1)
Source: RNAcentral
CUGUACCUCGGGAGGUGUUGAAGCUGGAUUCUUCCAGUCAGGAUCCAGUUAAACGGCUUUGACUUCCUGGAAAAGGUGAGGAAAGGUGAGCAGAAGUUGGGACCUUUGGACAAGAACAAAGAAAAUGCAGCACUGCACACAGUAGGCGCCAUCUAAGUGACCAGCACCGGAGACAACACGGUCUUCUGACUCCGCUCUCCAGGGAUCCUCAGAGGUUCAAUUGCACCAUGCGGUUUCUCUCCGUCUUUCUUGCUCUUCUUGUGGCACUCUCCCAGGCCACAUGGGUGGAUGAACCACAGUAUCAGAUAGACUGCUCCCAAUUCAAAGGUGUCUGCAGGAAGCCAAAGGGCCUGCAAUGCGUGUUCCUGCCUGCAAGAUGCAAAAAUGCCAAGAAAGUUUGCUGCCUGAAGAUAACAUAGAGUAUUAGUCCCCACCCACAAGAUUCGGUGGAGACAGACAACUCAGUGACCCAGCGUGGAAUAAACCUACGCACCCCUGGCCUGCGUGCCCUGCUGUGCCAUAGCUUUCUCGACCUGGGUUUAGAGGGAGGACAGUAUCGUC